GUUUGACCUCGGAUCAGGUAGGGUUACCCGCUGAACUUAAGCAUAUCAAUAAGCGGAGGAAAAGAAACCAACAGGGAUUGC
Molecule: ribosomal RNA, 81 nt
Filed under: Microascus gracilis
Lineage: Eukaryota; Fungi; Ascomycota; Sordariomycetes; Microascales; Microascaceae
Description: partial 28S ribosomal RNA
Rfam family: Eukaryotic large subunit ribosomal RNA
Source: RNAcentral